GAGCUCACUUCAGCAGCACAUACACUAAAAUUGGAAUGAUACAGAGAAGAUUAGCAUGGCCCCUGCGCAAACGUGACACGCAAAUUUGUGAAGCGCUCCAUAUUUUA
Small nuclear RNA from Otolemur garnettii (small-eared galago), 107 nucleotides. The record is from Ensembl. Lineage: Eukaryota; Metazoa; Chordata; Mammalia; Primates; Galagidae.